GCGGAGGGCCGGAUGGCCGCGGGGCGCGCGCGCUGUCGCGGGCCCCGAGGAAAGUCCGGACUCCACAAGGCGACGGUGCCGGGUAACGCCCGGCCGGGGCAACCCGAGGGAAAGCGCCACAGAAAACAGACCGCCCCCUUGCGGGGGUAAGGGUGAAACGGUGGGGUAAGAGCCCACCGCGGGACGGGCAACCGGACCGGCACGGCAAGCCCCACCGGGAGCAAUGCCGAAUAGGGACCGCGCGCAGGGCAAGGUCGGGCAACCGAUAUCGCCUGCAGGCCACGCCUUGGCCCGGCGGUCCGGGUUGGCAGCUUGAGGCGCUCCGGCAACGGGGCGUCCAGAGGAAUGGUCAUCCGAAGGGCAGCCCCCUUCGACAGAAUCCGGCUUACAGGCCCUCCGCGCGU
RNAcentral lists this RNase P RNA (404 nucleotides) under Roseovarius sp. Its description in RNAcentral is "RNase P RNA component class A". It matches the Rfam family "Bacterial RNase P class A". Rfam says of the family: Ribonuclease P (RNase P) is a ubiquitous endoribonuclease, found in archaea, bacteria and eukarya as well as chloroplasts and mitochondria. Lineage: Bacteria; Pseudomonadati; Pseudomonadota; Alphaproteobacteria; Rhodobacterales; Roseobacteraceae. The record is from RNAcentral.